AGUGAACGCUGGCGGUAGGCCUAACACAUGCGAGUCGAACGGCAGCACAGUAAGAGCUUGCUCUUACGGGUGGCGAGUGGCGGACGGGUGAGGAAUACAUCGGAAUCUACUUUUUCGUGGGUGAUAACGUAGGGAAACUUACGCUAAUACCGCAUACGACCUACGGGUGAAAGCAGGGGAUCUUCGGACCUUGCGCGAUUGAAUGAGCCGAUGUCGGAUUAGCUAGUUGGCGGGUUAAAGGCCCACCAAGGCGACGAUCCGUAGCUGGUCUGAGAGGAUGAUCAGCCAGGCUGGAACUGAGACAAGGUCCAGACUCCUACGGGAGGCAGCAGUGGGGAAUAUUGGACAAUGGGCGCAAGCCUGAUCCAGCCAUACCGCGUGGGUGAAGAAGGCCUUCGGGUUGUAAAGCCCUGUUGUUGGGAAAGAAAAGCAGCAGGUUAAUACCCCGCUGUUCUGACGGUACCCAAAGAAUAAGCACCGGCUAACUUCGUG
RNAcentral lists this ribosomal RNA (492 nucleotides) under uncultured bacterium. Its description in RNAcentral is "partial 16S ribosomal RNA". It matches the Rfam family "Bacterial small subunit ribosomal RNA", at positions 29 to 507 of the family's 1533-position model. The record is from RNAcentral.